RNAcentral lists this long non-coding RNA (295 nucleotides) under Volvox carteri. Its description in RNAcentral is "long non-coding RNA (VCAR_LNC002419)". The record is from RNAcentral. Lineage: Eukaryota; Viridiplantae; Chlorophyta; Chlorophyceae; Chlamydomonadales; Volvocaceae.
AGAGAAAGGCAAGCAAGCAUACCGAGUUGACUGACCCAUUGACAAGCAGCGACCGACGGACCAGUCCGACAAAGUCAUCCAUGUCAUCCAUGUGGAAACAUUAUUGCAAUGAAGCGACGACAGAGCACCCGCCUCAGAACCGAGCCCAGACCACCUCCAUCUGACUUUCCCGACCUUGGCCUUUUGGCUUGCUUGUAGUGGGCGCUGGUGAGGCGCGCGAUUGAAGACGAUGGGGAGGAGAUGAAUCCCCCAGACAGACUGGUGAGUGGUCAGAACAUGAGACCGGCAGAGUAGA